GAUGAACGCUGGCGGCGUGCCUAAUACAUGCAAGUCGAGCGAACAGACGAGGAGCUUGCUCCUCUGACGUUAGCGGCGGACGGGUGAGUAACACGUGGAUAACCUACCUAUAAGACUGGGAUAACUUCGGGAAACCGGAGCUAAUACCGGAUAAUAUAUUGAACCGCAUGGUUCAAUAGUGAAAGACGGUUUUGCUGUCACUUAUAGAUGGAUCCGCGCCGCAUUAGCUAGUUGGCAAGGUAACGGCUUACCAAGGCAACGAUGCGUAGCCGACCUGAGAGGGUGAUCGGCCACACUGGAACUGAGACACGGUCCAGACUCCUACGGGAGGCAGCAGUAGGGAAUCUUCCGCAAAGGGCGAAAGCCUGACGGAGCAACGCCGCGUGAGUGAUGAAGGUCUUCGGAUCGUAAAACUCUGUUAUUAGGGAAGAACAAAUGUGUAAGUAACUAUGCACGUCUUGACGGUACCUAAUCAGAAAGCCACGGCUAACUACGUG
Molecule: ribosomal RNA, 497 nt
Filed under: uncultured bacterium
Lineage: Bacteria
Description: partial 16S ribosomal RNA
Rfam family: Bacterial small subunit ribosomal RNA
Source: RNAcentral